CUCAUUGAAACACCAGUUCCUGUACGAUUACUGAAGUUAGGCAACAUUGAGCCUGGUCAGUACCUAGAUGGGUGACCACUUGGGAUUACCAGGUGUUA
Acanthosepion pharaonis is the source of this 98-nucleotide non-coding RNA. The record is from the annotation of a GenBank genome assembly. Lineage: Eukaryota; Metazoa; Mollusca; Cephalopoda; Sepiida; Sepiidae.